UGAUGAUGAAAAUCAGUAUAUAUGUACCGAGGUAUGUAUAUAUAUUGACUAUGUCAAAUAAAGUUCUAGAUAGAUAAAUGAUAAUGACAAACUUCUAUCUAUAUGUCUUGACCAAGUCUUGUGCCAGCAGUCGCGGCAAUACAAGGAAGACUAGUGUUAUUCAUCUUUAUUAGGUUUAAAGGGUACCUAGACGGUUUUGCUAGCUCCAAAAAAGUACGGCAAAACUAGAGUUUGAUGGGAGAGGUAUAUAUUAGGGCUAUUGGUGUAGAGAUGAAAUUCUUUGAUACUAAUGGAACGGAUAACGGCGAAGGCAACCCUCUAUGUACAAACUGACGUUGAGGGACGAAGGCUUGGGGAGCAAAUAGGAUUAGAUACCCUAGUAGUCCAGGCAGAAAAUUAUGAAUGUUAUAGACUGAGUAAAAAGUUGGUGUAUAAAUGAAAGUGUAAGCAUUCCACCUCAAGAGUAAUGUGGCAACACAGGAACUGAAAUCAUUAGACCGUUUCUGAAACCAGUAGUGAAGUAUGUUAUUUAAUUCGAUGACCCUCGAAAAACCUUACCACAAUUUGAAUGAUUUCUGUUUAAUACCUAAUUAGGGUCCUUUAAACGGGAUUACAGAUUUAACAAGCGUUGCACGGCUGUCUUCAGUUAAUGUCGUGAGAUUUUGGUUAGAUCCAUUAAAUUAACGUAAACCCUUGCUUCUAUUAAUUCUACUAUAAUUAUGAGGCAGUUCACCACUAUAUUGGAUACGAUAACAG
RNAcentral lists this ribosomal RNA (756 nucleotides) under Dothideomycetes sp. TRN 279. RNAcentral's name for it is "SSU rRNA". It matches the Rfam family "Bacterial small subunit ribosomal RNA", at positions 384 to 1172 of the family's 1533-position model. The record is from RNAcentral. Lineage: Eukaryota; Fungi; Ascomycota; Dothideomycetes.